CCAUUCAUCGUCGUAUGCGUCUUCGCAUGGACACUGCAGGCGCGAUGCAGCGUUCGAGCCGCACAUCCUCCCCGUCCUCAGUAUCGUCCUGGACGGCUGCCUCCUCCGAUUGCUCGCAGGACCCCGAGGAUGGGGAGCGGCUUUAUGAGCUCGCCUGCGUCGAGACCUUCAUGCCGCUUGCCGCGGACGUGACACCAGCAGACGAGAGUCUUGGUGCAUCGCCUGAGCACCCCGUCGCGAAAAUUAACUAUCCGCCGAACUUCAGCUUCAUCUACGGCGUAUACCGUGCACUUCGAGGUCAACUGGAGUACACCCCAACGCUCCCGCCCUGCGGUGAGCGAUGUGGGGGUGGUGCGCUGCCUCCUGUAAUUCAUGCCAUUCGCACCUCAGCGGCACGCUGGUUUCUUCUGCUGGCCUUUGCACUUCGCCAGUGCACCUCCAACUACACCGUCUGGAAAGACCGACGCGAUGUGCUCAUGUCCCCUGCGGUGUUGGAGCAAGCGACCCGUGACGCGCUGCCGGAACUUCCGAUACCGGCCGCCAUCCUUUCCUGCACCGCCUCGGAGGCAGACAAGCAAGAGGCGCUACGGGAGAUGGACGAAAAGCAGACGAAGCUGAGGCUGACGUCACAGCACUGGCUCCCUGCGCGCGCCGACAUUGCGUGGGAAGGUCGGCUGAGCCCGUGGCGUGCGGUGCGCUGGGAACUGACGACGGUCGGUUGCUUCACCCGGCUGUACCACAAGAACUUUCAGGUGUGGCACCACCGAAAGGAGCUGCUGGCGUACGCUCUCCAGCAGAGCCCCUCUCACGUCCGAUGCGGUGUGGACGCCGCGGCCACGGAUGAAAAGCUGGAGCAGCAGGUGGAGGACAGCAGUCCGUUUGUGCCCCUAUUGGCGAGUGAGGCAACAUUUAACGAUUACCUGCGCCGUCAUGACGGCCUCGACUUUGCCGCGGUCGACGAACGGCCGACGUUGCGCGCGGUGCUGUGCAAUGAGGAUGGGAAAAACUAUCAUGCCUGGCUGCACCUGUCAUGGUACUUGCAUGCCUUCUCCUUCCUGCUGACGCCGCCGUCGCGGAAGGCCCUGGAUGAGCACGCAAUGGUGGCUACGGCAGCCGCAGCUGAUCAAGCUCUGCGCUUUACGCCGCGACCCGACUGGAUCACUACCUCGGAGGGCGCAGCGCCGCCGGCACUGCGCCCCACCCUACCACCAAGUCCACUCACCGAGGAGCUGCAGUUCACAGCGCAGCUUAUCUGUCAAGACUGCCGCAACAACUCUGCGUGGUGUCACCGCUUCGCCCUCUUUAGGGAAGCCCUGCUUCGUCCUCUCUGGCGGCAGGUCUGCUCCGAGGCUUGCACCAGUUCGGUCGGCGCACCCACCAACAGCGAGAACUGGCCGGGCACCCUGCGAGACAUUUGUGCAGUGGAGCUGAAUUACUCGCUGCAGUGGUUGUAUGUGGACCCAACGAACGAGGCCGCCUACGCCCACGCCCGCUCCGUUGCCCUCCUCUUCCACACACUUCUCAUGCGAUGGCACGUGUGGGCGGCAGAGCACGCCAGCAGGGACGGUAGUGAGGAGCUUCAGCGGUACCUCACCGACGCCCCAUUGCUCACCCCGGUCGCACUGGCGAACUCCGAAACGUGCGCCGACGCCGACGCCGGCACCGUCAGCCCCUCCACGCCACUUGUGGAUCUCCUCCGUGACCGCCAACGCUGUGUUCGGUGGGACGCCUACGUGGAGAGCUUUGCCCUGAUGCGGCACAUGCAGCGGGUGCUGCACACUGUCGUCCGGCUCCGGGUUACCGAACUGGAGGCGCAGACGGCGCGCGUCUUGCGCUUGGCGGCGGCGAACAACACGAGAAGCUCAUCGCAGCAGGCACCCAAGUCUGAGGCGAUUGCCGAGCUGAAGAUUCUCUACGAGAGCAGCUCACAGUACAUGCUGGAUAACUUCCACCAGGUCGACACAGCGCAGUACUUGGCCUGUCAAGCAAUGCUGGAAGAGAUGUGGCUGACGUACAUGAACGCGGCACAGCGACGCGGGGUGCAGCAGCUUCGCCCGUCGGAGGCGUAUCGCGAGGGUCUCCAGCCGGAAUGGCUGAAACCCUGUCCAUGGGAUGAACCGAAGACGAGUGCAAUGGACGCAGGCAAGCAGGAAGACCGUCAGGAUGCUGUCGUCCUCGACUUCCUGGCCUACGAGGCCGCUGCGUUGAGCAAGGCGAAACAGCUGACGGUGGCGGACCCGAUCCGUCUCAAGUACUGGAAGCACGAGGUUCUUAACGUUAUGUACCGCGGCUAUGGCAUGUCUGUCUGAC
Molecule: unclassified non-coding RNA, 2310 nt
Filed under: Leishmania donovani
Lineage: Eukaryota; Euglenozoa; Kinetoplastea; Trypanosomatida; Trypanosomatidae
Description: gene:LdHU3.29.2960(CDS-product:protein_farnesyltr ansferase_alpha_subunit_putative)
Source: RNAcentral